Non-coding RNA from Apiotrichum porosum, 85 nucleotides. NCBI's taxonomy places the organism in Eukaryota, Fungi, Basidiomycota, Tremellomycetes, Trichosporonales, Trichosporonaceae. The record is from the annotation of a RefSeq genome assembly.
GCCCGGUUAUAUCAGUCGGUAGAUAGUUUGACUCUUACUACAUUAGGACAUCAAAAUGUCAUGGGUUCGAGCCCCAUACUGGGCU